This is a long non-coding RNA of Anopheles gambiae (African malaria mosquito), 2002 nucleotides long. RefSeq lists it as uncharacterized. The transcript has 2 exons. The record is from RefSeq and is a predicted model, not a curated record. Lineage: Eukaryota; Metazoa; Arthropoda; Insecta; Diptera; Culicidae.
GGCACUUCGUUUACUGCACUAUACCCGCUCACGCACAAGCGCACGAGUGCACAUGUUAGUACGUUUGAUCACAGACGAACAAUAUAUAGUGCACCUUCUAAUGCACAAACGAUGAACAUUUGUUUUGUGAUGCACAUUAAAUUGAAAAAAAAGAAAAAGAGAAAUUUUCAUGAAAGUUAUAAAACUCAAUGAAAUUGGACUGAUUGGAGCUUUGGAUGAUGAGGACAAGCGUUACAAAAACUUUAUGAAUGCCAUCAAGCGGAAGCGAUUACAACAUCUGAAGGAACAGCUGCAGCUGCAGCAGCUGCAGCAACAGCCCGAGCUCGUCAGCAACCAGCAGUAGCGGGUGUGGGUGGUGUAUCUGUGUUCAAAGCAAAGCAAAACAAAACAAAAACCCUCCGCUAAGGAUAUCCAAGUUCAGUUCAGUUUGUGUAGAUGCAAACGUUAGGCCGGUAGUGAUUAAGCAGCUCACCACAGCUCACCAAUAUAAACCGCAAACUCCUUUUCUAGCGAGAGAGCGAGGAGAGCUAAAACUGAAAAUUGAAAAUUUACUGCUCCAUUUACGCUUUUGACUUGACUUUAGGUGCAUUUUUAGCUUUUUUUCUGUUUGGUAUUUUACACUGCAAAACUACAAAUUGUUCAUUAAAGAAAGCUUAUCUGUGAGCUAAGCGAGAGAAAGAGAGAGAGAAAAAAAAAGAGAACGAUCAUACGUUGCUUAGCAUACGUGCAUUGAAACUGCCGCCAACUUUGUUCUAAGAGCUAGAGCGAACUUAGUAAGCCGUUUAGUAGUAACGUACGUAAGCUACCGAACACGUUAGAGUGAUCUUUCGUCUCUCAAGCGGUAAACGCUCAUCAUCAGCGUUUGCAUGAUAAUGAUAAAAAAGCCCACAAACACACAGAACGAUCGCGGAGGUGGACUGGGUGGGCUUCAAACCCAUCCCAUUCCUGUAUGACACUUCAUAGGCUGCCUGCUUAUCUGUUCAAUGUAAAUAGUUAGUGCGUUAGUGUCUGUUUAUUAUAUUCGUUUUAGUACUUGCAUCAUACGGUAGCGUUAGCUCGUUUCGAUAACAUCUUCUGUUGUUCUAAUAAUGUGUAUGUAUGUAGGUGUUUCUCUUAACCCUUUUUUCCCCGGAGAGACGUCAUUACAACGAAAUAAUGAACAAAAGAAGACGAAAAAACAAUAUAAUACUAAGCGAAAGAGUUAAGAAGAAGAAACGGUACCUUCGAACAGGGGAUUUUUUUUAGCGAGCUAAGCAAACAGGCAAAACAUCGUUGAGCGAAUGAGUUUUGUGGCGGAAGGAAAACAAACGCCCUUUGGGGUGAUUACAAAAAAGGGAAGGAUCUGUAAACGAUAUGGAAUGAAAACACAGAAAGCAAACCACCCGUAGUAGGUAAAAGAAAAGAGGGCAAUCGAGCAAAUCGAGAAGAUAGGAAGCAUAUGUAGAAAGCCAAGAAGAGAGAUUGGCACCGUGUUGGGUGUGUGUUGCCACCAUAAUGUAGAGUUUUAAUUUAUUGGAUUUAAGUUAUGGGAUAGUGAUUCUUUUCUCUUCUCCACUGCGUUUGUAUAUGUGUUAGAAUUUUUGUUUGUUUUUUCUUAUUCUUAUUCUUGCAACGAUAACGAUCUAUGCGUUUCGUGCAGGAAUCGAAUGCUGAAACAGUGAGCGUGCGCCGUAUCGUUGAUUCGAUCGGCCGCCGUGGAAGUUUUCGGCGACGAGCAAAAAAGGGUGUUUACACACCAGAGAAGUGCUAGGUAUUAGGAAUUUUGAUAAUUGAUAACAAUCGAAGCGAGUACAAUACACCUCCGUCCACACGUAACGAAGGUACGCAAUUUUUCGCGCGAAUAGUGUGUAUGUGGAGGGUAUUAAGGAGGAAGGUGAACUCGUUCGGACGUUUAUAGUAGUGCAAGAACGAAAGGUAGGCAAAGGCGAAUGAGUGUAUUUCGUUUAUGUAUUUUGUAAAGUGAGUAUAUCAAUAAAGAAAAAAAAACUAAAUUUAUAAAACA